GGUUCCAUGGCGGAGUUGGUUAGCGCAUGAUACUAAUAUUUCGUAUAUUACAUCAAGGUCGAGAGUUCAACCCUCUGUGGAACCA
This is a non-coding RNA of Tuber borchii (whitish truffle), 85 nucleotides long. NCBI's taxonomy places the organism in Eukaryota, Fungi, Ascomycota, Pezizomycetes, Pezizales, Tuberaceae. The record is from the annotation of a GenBank genome assembly.